CCCUCUCGGCCGCAUCCCCUCUCACUCCACGCUCUCUCUCUCUCUCGUCCUCCCACUGACAACGCCAGAAAACCCCCAUCUCCGGCCACCACCUCGCAAAACUACCACCACCCAUCAAUGCUGCACCAAGCUGCGACCCAAACCCACGGCAAAUAGAAACCAUGCAUUGACCUCGACCUCUCUCUUCCACUCUCCUUCUCUCUACCACCACUGGAGACUUCAGCUCCGGCCACCAUCUCCUCAUACCGCCUCCACCAGUCGACGCACCACCCAAACCCGAGGCUUACCGUCCACAUGAAUCGCCUCCAGCCUCCGCACCGGUUCCUCAAAUCAGCGAUGCCACUGCUCGUUGGCUUUCCUUGAUUUCCGACCAUCAGCUCGCCACACCGCCAUCACUUCUCGACUCAGAACUCGCCGGACGUCCAAACCUUGAAUCCUUGUUGACUGCCGAUGCCGGAGAGCACUGUACACGUCUUAUGCCGGAGUCUUAGCUUCUGCUAAGAUGGAUUUGACUCUUCCGAUCGAAAUUGAGCUACGUCGCCUCCAAGGAUGGAAUCAGGGCUUCACGAUCUAUCAAAGCCCUUGACCCCCAACCUCUAGUUCCGACUAGAGCCACCGCGCGUGCUUCACGAGCCGUCGCAGGAGAGUGGGCCACCGUAGCUCCGCCACUCACGGUCGGGGG
RNAcentral lists this long non-coding RNA (682 nucleotides) under Rosa chinensis. RNAcentral's name for it is "sRNA RchiOBHm_Chr6g0273331". Lineage: Eukaryota; Viridiplantae; Streptophyta; Magnoliopsida; Rosales; Rosaceae. The record is from RNAcentral.